RNAcentral lists this small RNA (34 nucleotides) under Vibrio cholerae O1 biovar El Tor str. N16961. Lineage: Bacteria; Pseudomonadati; Pseudomonadota; Gammaproteobacteria; Vibrionales; Vibrionaceae. The record is from RNAcentral.
UUUUGUUCUCAAGAUAGUAACGAGUCACAUUGUU